UGUCCUGGGCACAGGUGGCACAGCCAGGAUGUGUCCUGGGCACAGGGAUGGCCCCGGGGCAGGGCAGCCCCAGCCCCACCCUCGGCCCCUGCCAACACUGCCCCUGUCCCUGCUGUCCCCAUGGAUCCCAGAGGGAUCUCAGAGGGAUCAGGGGAGGGGAGCUGGGACACAGCAACACUAAGACACCCAGAGAACACUAAGGCAGCCCUGCAGGGCAGGAGCUGAGCCAUGCCUGGGGCUCGGAGCCAUCCCUGCCCAUCCUGGAGGGACAGCAGGGAUGUCCCCUCCCCAUCCUGGAGGGACAGUAGGGAUGUCCCCUGCCCGCCUGGCCCCUCCCCACAGAGCUCAACCCCGGGAUGGGGGCUGCUCCUUCUGCCCGUGGUUUUUUCCUGGGCCUCAGGCUCUUCCUGCUACAAACUCUCCCAAGCUGGUCACACCUGGAGGAUCAUCUGGAAGGGGAGGAACUGGGCCACAGCCCAGGCUGUCUCUGUGGUGGGGCAGAGGUCGUGGCUCCUCUGCCCAGGGCUCUGCCCAUUCCCCUUUCCCGGGAUUCCUCCCGUGGCUGGAGCUCACCUGGCCCUCAGGUGCCUUCCCUGCACCCCCACCCUGCCACAGCCACCCUCCCUGGGGGCCAGGCACCCCUCUGCCCCUGCAUUGCUGGGAGAAGGGAUGGUUCAUCUCGGUGGCACCUCUGCCAGCCCUUCUCCCUCAGCUGUGCUUUUCCUGGCUGGGAGGUGGGCAGGGGGUUGGCACGGGGCUGCACAAGUGGGUCCUUCCCCUCGUGGGGCUGGGCUGGGCCCUGCUGUGUGGCACAGCUGUGCAGGGCUGUGCUGCAGGUCCCUGUCCCUGCAGGGUCCCUGUCCCUGCUGCUCCCGUUCUCUGUAAGGAUUUGGUCCGUGCAUGUCCACGUGUGUCUGACCCCCAGGCAGUGACCCCGGCCCCGGGGGGCACAGGGCAGCCCCCCCUGCUCCCAGCAGGGCAGGGAGCCCAGGGGACCAGAGUCCUGGGGGCCCUUCCCACUGUCCCCUCCCCGGUGGGGGACACUGGCUCCCGCUCAGGUGGAUUGAAAUGCGUUCUGUCAGCUGGGACACCUCGCUAG
RNAcentral lists this long non-coding RNA (1099 nucleotides) under Serinus canaria (Common canary). RNAcentral's name for it is "lncRNA (ENSSCAG00000007141.1)". The record is from RNAcentral. Lineage: Eukaryota; Metazoa; Chordata; Aves; Passeriformes; Fringillidae.